RNAcentral lists this long non-coding RNA (2176 nucleotides) under Salmo salar (Atlantic salmon). Its description in RNAcentral is "lncRNA (ENSSSAG00000084149.1)". The record is from RNAcentral. Lineage: Eukaryota; Metazoa; Chordata; Actinopteri; Salmoniformes; Salmonidae.
GGGACAUGUGUGUUUGUGUGUCCUUAUUUACCUGGUGCAACUUGGAGAGGAGGGUUAUCUGCCCUCACACAGAGGGUCACAUAUUCCCUACAUGACAGUUGGACCAUCAAUGCUUCAGUAGCCCAGUCGGGACCUUUGUCUGGUUUGUGUGUUGACGAUGAAUCACAAUAUAAAGUUCAACUCCCACUGUUUAUCUGCAUGGGCUGCAUCUCAAUCUAACGCGGAAGACCGGCAGAGGCGAAUGUUUCAAUCUAACGCGGAGACUGUAAGAGGCGGAUGUUUCAAUCUAACGCGGAAGACCGGCAGAGGCGAAUGUUUCAAUCUAACGCGGAAGACCGGCAGAGGCGAAUGUUUCAAUCUAACGCGGAAGACCGGCAGAGGCGGAUGUUUCAAUCUAACGCGGAAGACCGGCAGAGGCGAAUGUUUCAUGUUUCAAUCUAACGCGGAAGACCGGCAGAGGCGAAUGUUUCAAUCUAACGCGGAAGACCGACAGAGGCGGAUGUUUCAAUCUAACGUGGAAGACCGGCAGAGGCGAAUGUUUCAAUCUAAUGCGGAAGGCCGACAGAGGCGGAUGUUUCAAUCUAACGCGGGAAGACCGACAGAGACGGAUGUUUCAAUCUAACGUGGAAGGCCGACAGAGGCGGAUGUUUCAAUCUAAAGCGGAAGACCGACAGAGGCGGAAGUUUCAAUCUAACGCGGAAGACCGACAGAGGUGGAUGUUUCAAUCUAACGUGGAAGACCGACAGAGGUGGAUGUUUCAAUCUAACGCAGAAGACCGACAGAGGUGGAUGUUUCAAUCUAACGCGGAAGACCGACAGAGGUGGAUGUUUCAAUCUAACGUGGAAGGCCGACAGAGGCGGAUGUUUCAAUCUAACGCGGAAGACCGACAGAGGCAGAUGCGUUAGAUUGAAACAUCUGCCAAUAUCGGCCUGUCGCAUCUGAGGUGGAAGGUGGCCGAGUUACAGGGGUACUUGUCAGAUCAUGAGACAUCCUAAAAAUCGGUCUUCUCAUGAAAACGUCUGUAGCAUCCAAAUGCUACAAACUAAUGUGGAAAUGGGAGACUCUCACAAACACGAUGGGGUUCUCCGUUUUGCUUUACAACGCCAAUAAGUGUCACGGGACUCAUCUGAAGGUAACAUAUACAAACGAAUGGAAGUAAUAAGUAGUUUUCUGCCAACAAAAAUAUGUGUCUAAAAAAAACUAAAUUAUUUACAUGGGUUUCUUAUAUCUCCUAGAUACAGGACACACUUCAAAACCUUAUUCCUUAUGAUUUAUUGACAUCAAUAAGUUACCAUAGCUUUCACCUGGAUUCACCUGGCCAGUCUAUGUCAUGGAAAGAGCAGGUGUUCCUAAUGUUUUGUACACUCAGGAGAAAAGAGUGAUAAAAUAAAAUGGGGAAAAUAGAGAGAAGAAAUUUAGGAGAUGGAGUGAAGAGAAGGGUGGGGGGGUUGAGAGAGGGAUGGGUGCACAGCGUCCUUGUCACAGUAUUGUCUCUCCUCUCUUUUUCCCUCUCCUCCUCCUCUUUUUCACUUGUUUUUUCUGUAUGUUCUGCUCAAGCAUUGAUUCUACUGCCUCUUUUCCCUUCUUCAACUACACCCUGCAUCUGUCCCGAGACACUGAGACACACAGGGUACGGUAGCUGGCAACGUGUGCUCUGAGAAGAGACACACCCUGAACAGUGGAAGAAAGAGUGUUGUGCAGGUACUGAGAGCUGUUAGCUCGGUCCAGAGCGACAGAGACAGAAAGACAAACAGACAGACCGGAAUUGAGCCGAGCCGGGCUGAGCUGGACUGGGAUACUCUGGACUCUCCCAGAGCUCUCUUCAGCGACGGGCACAGGUAAACACACACCUUCAUGGUUCUCCCCUGUGUUCCAACCCCCUCAGAGUUCCAGAAUGGGUCUGUUUAUGGUAGCCUGGAGAGACUCAAAUAAAGAAAACAACUACUACUUCAGGGUUAUUGACAUAUUCCUAAAAGGUUGUGACUGGCAGCCUGGAUCAAUCUGCUGCACUUUAUUUUAGUAUUCCAAGACAGCCUGAGGGAGAGAUGAACUUCUGAGGAGAAAAAGAGCCAGAGAAAGAGUGUGUGUGUUUAUAAAGGUAUGAUGUGUUUAUAAAGGUAUGAUGUGUUUUAUAAAGGUAUGAUGUGUUUAUAAAGGUAUGAUGUGUUUUAUAAAG